This 839-nucleotide ribosomal RNA is filed under the name uncultured bacterium. Its description in RNAcentral is "bacterial SSU rRNA". It matches the Rfam family "Bacterial small subunit ribosomal RNA", at positions 56 to 885 of the family's 1533-position model. The record is from RNAcentral.
UGCAAGUCGAGCGAGAUCUGACAGCACACCGUCAGGUCUAGCGGCAGACGGGUGAGUAAUACUUGGGCAAUCUGCCCUUUAGUGGAGGACAACCUGCCGAAAGGCGGGCUAAUACUCCAUAAGACCACAGGGAUGCAUAUUCCAGGGGUCAAAGCUCCGCAAGGGGCGCUAGAGGAGGAGCCCGAGUCCUAUCAUGGUAGUUGGCGGGGUAACGGCCCACCAAGCCGUUGACGGGUAGCCGGCCUGAAAGGGCAACCGGCCACACUGGCACUGAGACACGGGCCAGACUCCUACGGGAGGCAGCAGUGGGGAAUUUUGGACAAUGGGGGCAACCCUGAUCCAGCGACGCCGCGUGAAGGAUGAAGGUCUUCGGAUUGUAAACUUCUUUUGGAGGGGAUGAAUGAGUCGCCGAAGAGGCGACAGUGACAGUACUCUCUGAAUAAGCCACGGCUAACUACGUGCCAGCAGCCGCGGUAAUACGUAGGUGGCAAGCGAUACUCGGAAUCACUAGGCGUAAAGCGCAGGUAGGAGGUUUGGAAAGUCUCUUGUGAAAGCUCCCGGCUUAACUGGGAGAGGUCAAGGGAAACUACCAGGCUAGAGUGCGGUAGAGGUAGCUGGAAUUCCCGGUGUAGCGGUGAAAUGCGUAGAUAUCGGGAGGAAUACCUAUGGCGAAAGCAGGCUACUGGACCGUCACUGACUCUGAUCUGCGAAAGCUAGGGGAGCAAACAGGAUUAGAUACCCUGGUAGUCCUAGCCCUAAACGAUGCUCAUUAGUGUGGGAGGUAUCGACCCCUUCCGCGCCGUAGCUAACGCAUUAAAUGAGCCGCCUGGGGAGUACGG